AGUCUUUAUUGCUGCUGGAGUCAGUUCUGAACCCAGACACCAGUCUUCAUUUUCCAGGUCACCUUCAUUAAAGUUGUCAUCAGUCGAGAUGUGGGUCAGCGGUGACUGGGGCCGGGAAUCCCCACACAAGGAGUAGCUGUGCUCUGCCUGGAUGAGUGGCGCUGGGGAUGCUGGAGACAGUUCCACCUCCAUCACUUCAUUCUUCUCAGACAAGAAGGGAUCGUUCAAGAGCUGGCCUAGGACAUCAGUUGAGAACUCAUCCAGGAAUUCUGUGAAGUGCGUGUGGCCCAGCAGGGUGUCAGGGUCGGCGGGCUCGCACAGCUCGCUCAGCUUGCGAUCCCAGUGCAGCAGCGGCGGCUGCUCGCCGCUCUCGCACACCUCCAUGGCGGCCCCGGCUGCCCCGCGCCCGGCUCACGCCGCGCCGACCACUCCCAUGGGCCGCCCGCCGCCGGUACCGGCGCCGCUCCGAGGCCGCGUCCCCCGCCGGAGCCAGGAGUGCCGG
This 502-nucleotide long non-coding RNA is filed under the name Gallus gallus (chicken). Lineage: Eukaryota; Metazoa; Chordata; Aves; Galliformes; Phasianidae. The record is from RNAcentral.